UCCGGUUUGUCACCGGCAGUCUCCCUAGAGUUCCCGACUUUACUCGUUGGCAACUAGGCACAGGGGUUGCGCUCGUUACGGGACUUAACCCAACAUCUCACAACACGAGCUGACGACAGCCAUGCAGCACCUGUCUCUCGGUUCCCGAAGGCACUCCAGCAUCUCUGCCAGAUUCCGAGGAUGUCAAGGGUAGGUAAGGUUCUUCGCGUCGCAUCGAAUUAAACCACAUGCUCCACCGCUUGUGCGGGCCCCCGUCAAUUCCUUUGAGUUUUAAUCUUGCGACCGUACUCCCCAGGCGGAAGACUUAUCGCGUUAGCUUCGAUACUGCAUGGUUUUAUCCAUCCAACAUCUAGUCUUCAUCGUUUACAGCAUGGACUAC
RNAcentral lists this unclassified non-coding RNA (379 nucleotides) under uncultured Gammaproteobacteria bacterium. RNAcentral describes it as "contains 16S-23S intergenic spacer region". The record is from RNAcentral. Lineage: Bacteria; Pseudomonadati; Pseudomonadota; Gammaproteobacteria.